UACGAAGGGGGCGAGCGUUAUUCGGAAUCACUGGGCGUAAAGCGUGCGUAGGCUGUUCUACAAGUUGGAAGUGAAAGCCCAGGGCUCAACCCUGGAACUGCUUUCAAAACUGUAGGACUCGAAUUCGGGAGAGGAUAGCGGAAUUUCCAGUGUAGUAGUGAAAUACGUAGAUAUUGGAAGGAACACCAGUGGCGCAAGCGGCUAUCUGGACCGACAUUGACGCUGAGGCACGAAAGCGUGGGGAUCAAACAGG
Molecule: ribosomal RNA, 253 nt
Filed under: uncultured bacterium
Lineage: Bacteria
Description: partial 16S ribosomal RNA
Rfam family: Bacterial small subunit ribosomal RNA
Source: RNAcentral